CCUACGGGGGGCAGCAGUGGGGAAUAUUGGGCAAUGGGCGCAAGCCUGAACCAGCAACGCCGCGUGAAGGAAGAAGGCUUUCGGGUUGUAAACUUCUUUUUAGAGGGAAGUGCAGAAGACGAUACCUCUUGAAUAAUCCACGGCUAACUACGUGCCAUCAGCCACGGUAAUACGUAGGUGGCCAGCGUUGUCCGGAUUUACUGGGUGUAAAGGGCGUGCAGCCGGGAAGACAAGUCAGAUGUGAAAUCCCGCGGCUCAACCGCGGAAUUGCAUUUGAAACUGGUUUUCUUGAGUACCGGAGAGGUGAUCGGAAUUCCUGGUGUAGCGGUGAAAUGCGUAGAUAUAAGGAAGAACACCAGUGGCGAAGGCGGAUGACUGGACGGCAACUGACGGUGAGGCGCGAAAGCGUGGGGAGCAAACAGGAUUAGAUACCCGUGUAGUC
This 442-nucleotide ribosomal RNA is filed under the name uncultured bacterium. Its description in RNAcentral is "partial 16S ribosomal RNA". It matches the Rfam family "Bacterial small subunit ribosomal RNA", at positions 338 to 795 of the family's 1533-position model. The record is from RNAcentral.